Long non-coding RNA from Oxyura jamaicensis (ruddy duck), 358 nucleotides. RefSeq lists it as uncharacterized. The record is from RefSeq and is a predicted model, not a curated record. NCBI's taxonomy places the organism in Eukaryota, Metazoa, Chordata, Aves, Anseriformes, Anatidae. The transcript has 3 exons.
AUGGAUGACUUAAAAGUUAGCAGCACAGACUGAAGUGCUUGGUGAGGAACUGAUAUAUUUUUUUCUAGUUGUAGGAGCUGCUGUCUCCAAUGAGAGCCAUCACCACAGAUGGGCUUUUAGGAGAGGAUGUGCACCAGCACAAUCAGUGGGUGCAUUACUCACAGAGAGCACUUGCAUGCAGGUAUGCCAAGAGGGAUCCCAACUUGCAAUAAGAUUCUGAGGAAAAAGUCUGACUCUAGUCAUAUACUCUUUGAAAAGGAUGACUGUACAGUAGUUCAAUGUAUGCCACAAACUGGCAACACUUAAAACUUUGGUUCUUCUGUUAAUAAUUUUUUUUAAGGAAUCUAACUGCUAGUUG